AUUGAACGCUGGCGGCAGGCCUACACAUGCAAGUCGAGCGGAUGAAGGGAGCUUGCUCCUGGAUUCAGCGGCGGACGGGUGAGUAAUGCCUAGGAAUCUGCCUGGUAGUGGGGGAUAACGUCCGGAAACGGGCGCUAAUACCGCAUACGUCCUGAGGGAGAAAGUGGGGGAUCUUCGGACCUCACGCUAUCAGAUGAGCCUAGGUCGGAUUAGCUAGUUGGUGGGGUAAAGGCCUACCAAGGCGACGAUCCGUAACUGGUCUGAGAGGAUGAUCAGUCACACUGGAACUGAGACACGGUCCAGACUCCUACGGGAGGCAGCAGUGGGGAAUAUUGGACAAUGGGCGAAAGCCUGAUCCAGCCAUGCCGCGUGUGUGAAGAAGGUCUUCGGAUUGUAAAGCACUUUAAGUUGGGAGGAAGGGCAGUAAGUUAAUACCUUGCUGUUUUGACGUUACCAACAGAAUAAGCACCGGCUAACUUCGUG
RNAcentral lists this ribosomal RNA (483 nucleotides) under uncultured bacterium. Its description in RNAcentral is "partial 16S ribosomal RNA". It matches the Rfam family "Bacterial small subunit ribosomal RNA", at positions 30 to 507 of the family's 1533-position model. The record is from RNAcentral.